Molecule: ribosomal RNA, 377 nt
Filed under: uncultured organism
Description: partial 16S ribosomal RNA
Rfam family: Bacterial small subunit ribosomal RNA
Source: RNAcentral
GUAGGUGGCAAGCGUUGUCCGGGAAUUAUUGGGGCGUAAAGCGCGCGCAGGCGGUCCUUUAAGGUCUGAUGUGAAAGCCCACGGGCUCAACCGUGGAGGGUCAUUGGAAACUGGGGGACUUGAGUACAGAAGAGGAAAGCGGAAUUCCAAGUGUAGCGGUGAAAUGCGUAGAGAUUUGGAGGAACACCAGUGGCGAAGGCGGCUUUCUGGUCUGUAACUGACGCUGAGGCGCGAAAGCGUGGGGAGCAAACAGGAUUAGAUACCCUGGUAGUCCACGCCGUAAACGAUGAGUGCUAAGUGUUAGGGGGUUUCUGCCCCUUAGUGCUGCAGCUAACGCAUUAAGCACUCCGCCUGGGGAGUACGGCCGCAAAGGCUGA